CUUGCUUGAGAAUGCUCUAGGCACCUAGCUGUGGAAGGUAGAAUGGAAAUUGUAAUAACAAAAUUCUAACUAUAAUAGAAUACUAAAUAAAAUCUAAUUAGACCAUAAUAAUGUUAAGCAAGCUUAGAUCAAAUUCAAAAAAAUCUCAAAGAAAUUUCAAAGAAACAAUAAGAAAUCUUAAAGAAAUAUUAGAAUGAUCACAAAUAUAUCUCAAAUACAUCUCAAUUCAAUCUUAAUUUAAUCCUAGUUAAAAUUUUAUUGGACUUCAUUCAAACUUUAGGCCGAUAACUAACCAAAUCUUAAAUCCUAAACAAAUCCUAAAUCUUAAAUCAAACCCUAACCAAAUCCUAAAUCCUAAAUUAAAUCCUAACCAACUUUAAACCAAAUCCUAACUAAAUCCUAAAUCCUAAACCAAAUCCUAAUCCUAAAUCAAAUCCUAACCAAUUCUAAACCAAAUCCUAAAUCCUAAACCAAAUCCUAACCAAAUCCUAACCCUAAAUCAAACCCUAAUCAAAUCCUAAUCCUAAAUCAAAUCCUAAUUAAACCUUAAAUCUUAAACCAAAUCCUAAUCCUAAAUCAAAUCUUAACCAAACUCUAACUCUAAAUCAAAUCCUAACCAAAUCCUAACCCUAAAUCAAAUCCUAACUAAAUCCUAAUCCUAAAUCAAAUCCUAAUAAUUCCUACAAAAAAUUUAUACCUCAAUUACUAAUGAAUGAGUUGUUGAUCUUAAUUCAAAAUUUGCAUGAUUUUUAACAAUUAAGUUGAUAAUAAGCUCAAAAAAAUUUGAAAAUGAUCGGAAUUACCAAAUAGACGAUAGCCUCAAAAAUGUGCUUGGAUAUUGAUCGGCCUCCUUCUCUGACC
This 861-nucleotide long non-coding RNA is filed under the name Physcomitrium patens. RNAcentral's name for it is "long non-coding RNA (PPAT_LNC012923)". Lineage: Eukaryota; Viridiplantae; Streptophyta; Bryopsida; Funariales; Funariaceae. The record is from RNAcentral.